CCAAUUAACUCUUUAUUCCAAAGAUGUGCUCAUUUGUUUUAAUGGGAAAUAAUAAAAUGGAGGGGAGAGCAGCAGCAAAGUGACCUCUGAGGAAAAUGUUGGUUUUAAUAGCUGAAACUAUGUAGUCUCUUGUUUAAAUCCUCACUUUUGCAGGUGUAAUAGAUACUGGUGUCUGUGAUUAAAAAAUUGAAUGGAAGGGGAAUUUUGUAUAUCUUUAAACACUUAGGUAUGUGCUGGACACUUUCUGGGGAACAUGCGUUCAUUUGUUGCUCUUUGUUUGAACGUUUAGAGAUACAUCUCCUCUUCACAAUGGAUUGGAUCUGGGCAUAGCCAUACUUAACAUAAAUAUCUUGAAAUUAGUGGAAUUUAAGUUCGUCUCUGUUGGUUUCAGUAGGUCCCCACAGAGUAUGACUAAGUCUAGGUCUAGCUGUCUUAACAUCUUUAGUGCCACACAACUGGUGCUGUGUAGGCACCAUCAUUGGCUUGUGAGGGAAGCAGUGGGCAUAUUCUCAUCUAGAUUUUGGUCCAUAAGCUACCCCAAAUGUUCAUAUGAAUUGACUCUUGUUUGUAAGUGCUGAUGAUAAAUUGACACUCCUGGCAUAGUUUGACUUGUAUUACCAUCACUUCCAAACAGCAAGAGACUGAAAACAUUUUAACACAAGAAGAUCUCUAUAACUUUCUGACUGUCCUGUUUGUUGUUUACAGUUUGCCCCCAGUCCUUUUAAUAUUGUGAAAGAUGCUCAGCUUUUUAAAAAAAAUGCUAAUUGAAAAGCAGCAAAUCUCUUUGGGGCAGGGAAGAAGAAAGGCUAAUGAUGAGCACAACCCCUCCUCACGCAAAGCAUUCCUGGAGUUUGGAAGAAAGAUUUCUGAUAAUCUUAACAAAAUCCAGGAGGAGGGUCUUUUAAAGAUCUUUGCUUUGUGUGUGGAUAAUUGAUGGAUGGAUAGGAUCUGUAUUUGUUUUCUCUUUGUUUCAUCUGAAACAAUUCAGAUGUUAUCCUGUUGUUAAUGUGCCUGUAUAUAGAUGUGCAUUAUGAGGCUGGUACAGGAGAUUGUCUUGGUGGAUAUUAGCCAUUGGCACAAGCCAGCUAUGUAUACUGCAGAACCUGUAGGCGCCACUUCUCUUACUGUGUUUUGAUAGCUGAAACCAUAAAGCUUCUCUUUCCUACCUAUGUUUUUACUGCAGUUCUUGUUUGUAAUUGUACUUGGUCACAUUUUAUAUGCAAUUCUUAAUUAAAAUCACCUGACCUAGACCAGUUUCCCUGUGCCUCUUCUUUUGAUACUUUUGUUUUAUUCUUUGUAAAAUUUCUGAUGUAGUUGGGACUGUAGUGGGCGUUUUACCACAUUUGAUUAUCCAUGGCAGGUGUUCGGAUUG
RNAcentral lists this long non-coding RNA (1372 nucleotides) under Pogona vitticeps (central bearded dragon). RNAcentral describes it as "lncRNA (ENSPVIG00000001768.1)". The record is from RNAcentral. Lineage: Eukaryota; Metazoa; Chordata; Lepidosauria; Squamata; Agamidae.